CGUACACUCCUACGGGAGGCAGCAGUGGGGAAUAUUGGACAAUGGGCGCAAGCCUGAUCCAGCCAUGCCGCGUGAGUGAUGAAGGCCCUAGGGUUGUAAAGCUCUUUCACCGGAGAAGAUAAUGACGGUAUCCGGAGAAGAAGCCCCGGCUAACUUCGUGCCAGCAGCCGCGGUAAUACGAAGGGGGCUAGCGUUGUUCGGAAUUACUGGGCGUAAAGCGCACGUAGGCGGAUCGAUCAGUCAGGGGUGAAAUCCCAGGGCUCAACCCUGGAACUGCCUUUGAUACUGUCUAUCUGGAGUAUGGAAGAGGUGAGUGGAAUUCCGAGUGUAGAGGUGAAAUUCGUAGAUAUUCGGAGGAACACCAGUGGCGAAGGCGGCUCACUGGUCCAUUACUGACGCUGAGGUGCGAAAGCGUGGGGAGCAAACAGGAUUAGAAACCCGUGUAGUCCC
This 450-nucleotide ribosomal RNA is filed under the name uncultured organism. Its description in RNAcentral is "partial 16S ribosomal RNA". It matches the Rfam family "Bacterial small subunit ribosomal RNA", at positions 330 to 797 of the family's 1533-position model. The record is from RNAcentral.